GCUCCAAAUUUAAACAUUUUUCAACGCAUCCUAUCACAACCUUUGAUAGAAGAUAUCUCAAAAUUUCCAACCCUUGAAAUAAAGUCCAAAAUUAAAAUACAAAAGGGAAAGCUCAUUUUUGUUCACGUUCCACAAUCAGAAAAUUCUCUCAAAAUCGGAGCUCAUCUCAGAAAAUUCUCUCAAAAUCGAUCUGAGCUCAUCUCAGGAAACUCAAAGAUCGGAGCUCAUCUCAUCUCCGACGGGUUGAUUUGCGGUGGUCAGCUAUCUCAUCUCCGACGACAAGCGAGCCGUUGAUCGACUGAGCACUCUUCGCCACCCCAUUUUCCGAUUACAGGUCUGUCUUUCUCUGUUUGUUUCCCGACAAAUUAUGGAAAUUACAUAGCAGAACUAUCCAAACAAUUUUUGGUAUUCUCUCUCGUUUUCUCUCUCUCCAUCGGUAGAUAUUUCUCUUCCUCACCAUCGGUAUAAUUUGGGGGCUAGGAUUUGGAUUACAUGUCCAUUGGUAUAAUUUGGGGGCUAGGGUUUGGAUUACAUGUCCUUUGGAAUCUGAAGUAUGGGUUGGAUCUAAGAGGCUUGAACAUAUUAUAUUGAAGAAAUGCUUAAAAAGGAGUUUCUAAGUGUUAAUGGUGUGGUAUAACAAUAGUAUCAAUUUAAGAAUGGGUUGGAUCUAGGAGGUUUUUGGCGGUGCUAUGUUUGUUAAUUUUUGUUUUCCAGUAUUUUAUCUGAGAGUUUGAUGCUGAUUUUGAAAAUUCUCUGUGUAUGUUAAUUAUUGAAAAUCAGCUAUAAUAUAGGUUUCCCCAAUGGAUAUAUUGAUUAUACCAGUGCAGUGCAAGUCUUUGUGUGUCUCAUGCUAUUUAUGCUAAAAUCAAUGCAAUUUGAUUAACCAUUUUUAUUGGUUUUUUGUGUUAUGGAGGUUUUUUGAGUUCCCUAAUUUUGAAAGGACUGGACCAUGUGAUAUCAAGAAGUUGCUACAAAUUUAUAAUUUAUACAUUUGAAACUUGUGUUAAAGAGUACACUUCUCUGUAGGAAAUUUGGAGUAAACACAAAAUCUUUUGUAGCUGGACUUCCAAAAAUCAUUAACAAUGUCAUACCUAGCUCAUCUCCUAGUGUAAUCUACGAUUAAAUCACAAAACAAUCUUCAUUUGUUUGUCACACAUGAUUCAGAUCAUAGACAAAGCCUUUUAGAUUUUAAUCAUUUUGCCAACAGAUUAACUUAUACAAUAUGGAUAGAUUAUUUAUGGUAGAUAAUGAAGAUCAAUCUCAAAGAGAAAAUCCCAUUAGGAAGGUCAAGGAUUUAGCUGAGGAACAAAAUGAGCAUAACCUCUACGCAUUCACUCCCAAAGGAAAGUGAGGAAGAUAAUGCCUCUCAAAAUAUCAUAUAUGGUCCAUAUGAUGAUGCAAUUACUGGUAAGAUUAGAAAAUGAUGGAAUUCUUUGUCCCAUUCCUCAUUACCCUUUACACUCUGCUUCAAUUGAUCUCCAUGGUGGCACACUGGUUCCUUACUAUCUCAAUGAAGCAACAGGAUGGGGAUUGUAAGUCUCUUCACUUAAGAAGCAAUUGGAGGUUGCCAAGUCCCAAGGCAUCAUAGUUAGGGCUUUAAAUGUUAUAAAUCCCAGAAACCCAACAGGCCAGGUGUGCUAUUAGUAGGUUUGAAGAAGUAGAGAUUUGACUAGCAAAGUACCUAAAGUUCACGUAAAAGAGAAUGCAUUGCUAUGUGUCUAUUUUUGUCCCUGUACAUUAUAUGAUUUUUCUGUUGUACCUGCAGGUUCUUGUGAGGAGAACCAGCGUGACAUUGUGGAAUUCUGCAGGAAAGGUCUUGUGCUACUGGCAAAUGAGAUCAACAAGACUAUUCUGGUGCUCAUACAUAUGAAAGGAUUGAUGUGGAGGGAUCUUUCCAUACUGAAUGGUUCAAGCUUGCCAAACAGUGUAAUAUAAGUUUUGGAGUUUUAUUUCAGUGGUCUUUUGGCCAAGGAUGUUACAGUGGAAAACCUCCCCAACUUGGUUAAAUCAGGUCUUAAAUUUGAGGAGAUAGAAAAUGAUGUGAGUACUCGAGAUUAUAUAAAAAGGAUAUGGGACUUCACGGGAUCACUCUAUAACAUUGAAUCCAUGGAAUUCAGCAUAGAAACUGCAGAGGUAUGGACAUGUUACGUUUUUCAUGCUCUAACUCUCUUAUCAUUAAUUAAAUUGCUCAAUGCUACUUAAUAAUAUUUGACUUCCUUGACGUUUGGUGGUUGUAUUAGGUCUUGUUAUUAUAUGUGGCCUGCAGUACAAUUCUUGUUUUGUCAGGCUCCAAAGGUACAAACACUUGUCUUUGAAUUGACAUUCCUAGGUAGCCAUGAUGGUUACCCACCUGAAAAUCGCUUGGAAGAUCGCUUGGAGAAGUGGCUUUACGUUCCUGAAUGUUUGUCAUCACAUCUUACAGUCUGUUAUAAUAAGGAAUUUUCAGGGCAUGAAGUUGAGAUGAACUUGUUCGACAAGUCUUGAAGGAAGCAAAUAUAUUAAAGACAAUGAAAAUCACUUUUGAAAGUCGUCUAGACUCAGAGAUAAAGCUUUGUGCUUGCAAGAAAUUAAGAAAGCUUCAAAGGAGGUAUCCUACUUGCCAAUUUGAAUUUGACGAAGGACAAGUUGAUUUUUAAGUUCUCUUUCUUAAUUUGUGAGAAGCAAUAGCUUUAUGGGAAUGGCCAUUGGUCUUUGCAUCUUUCAUUUUAGUUUGGAAAUGUGUAUUUUGUCCAUUGGUUUGUUUAGUGCAGCUAUUUGCCCUAUGUUUGUGUGUUUUUGUUGAGGAGGUCAUUUAGACUUUUUAUAGCAGCUUUGGUUGUGUUUUGUGCAGCCACUAGGCUGAUUUGGGUGUUGUAUGGCUACUGGCCUUUUGUUCCUGCACAAAGUAGUUUGUUUUCUUGUGCAUGAUUUAAAUUCUUGUAUUUUGAA
Quercus lobata is the source of this 2928-nucleotide RNA transcript. It is a transcript of the gene named alanine aminotransferase 2-like, with no coding region annotated. The transcript has 5 exons. Lineage: Eukaryota; Viridiplantae; Streptophyta; Magnoliopsida; Fagales; Fagaceae. The record is from RefSeq and is a predicted model, not a curated record.